AACGCAUCUUGCGCUCCUUGGUAUUCCUUGGAGCAUGCCUGUUUGAGUAUCAUGAAAUUCUCAAAGUAAAUCUUUUGUUAAUUCAAUUGGUUAACUUUGGAUUUGGAGGCUCUGUGGAUUUUUACAAUCCACUCCUCUUGAAUAUAUUAGCUGGAUCUCAGUAUAUACUUGGUUCCACUCGGUGUGAUAAGCAUCACUCGCCGAGGACACCACCUGUCAAAAGGUGUGGCCAAGGAAUUCAGAUGAACCGCUUCCAAUAGUCUAUUGAAUUAGACAAUAUAUUUUAAGAUCUGAUCUCAAAUCAGGUAGGACUACCCGCUGAACUUAA
This 328-nucleotide ribosomal RNA is filed under the name uncultured Ceratobasidium. Its description in RNAcentral is "eukaryotic LSU rRNA". The record is from RNAcentral. Lineage: Eukaryota; Fungi; Basidiomycota; Agaricomycetes; Cantharellales; Ceratobasidiaceae.